GCAAGUCGAACGGUAACAUUUCUUGCUUGCAAGAAGAUGACGAGUGGCGCACGGGUGCGUAACGCGUAUACAACCUGCCUUGAACAAAGGGAUAGCCCAUGGAAACGUGGAUUAAUACCUUAUAACAUCUAGAUAUGGCAUCAUAUUUAGAUCAAAGAUUUAUUGGUUUGAGAGGGGUAUGCGUGACAUUAGAUAGUUGGUGAGGUAACGGCUCACCAAGUCAGCGAUGUCUAGGGGUUCUGAGAGGAUGAUC
RNAcentral lists this ribosomal RNA (253 nucleotides) under uncultured bacterium. RNAcentral describes it as "partial 16S ribosomal RNA". It matches the Rfam family "Bacterial small subunit ribosomal RNA", at positions 57 to 305 of the family's 1533-position model. The record is from RNAcentral.